Molecule: ribosomal RNA, 497 nt
Filed under: uncultured bacterium
Lineage: Bacteria
Description: partial 16S ribosomal RNA
Rfam family: Bacterial small subunit ribosomal RNA
Source: RNAcentral
GAUGAACGCUGGCGGCGUGCCUAAUACAUGCAAGUCGAGCGAACAGACGAGGAGCUUGCUCCUCUGACGUUAGCGGCGGACGGGUGAGUAACACGUGGAUAACCUACCUAUAAGACUGGGAUAACUUCGGGAAACCGGAGCUAAUACCGGAUAAUAUAUUGAACCGCAUGGUUCAAUAGUGAAAGACGGUUUUGCUGUCACUUAUAGAUGGAUCCGCGCCGCAUUAGCUAGUUGGUAAGGUAACGGCUUACCAAGGCAACGAUGCGUAGCCGACCGGAGAGGGUGAUCGGCCACACUGGAACUGAGACACGGUCCAGACUCCUGCGGGAGGCAGCAGUAGGGAAUCUUCCGCAAUGGGCGAAAGCCUGACGGAGCAACGCCGCGUGAGUGAUGAAGGUCUUCGGAUCGUAAAACUCUGUUAUUAGGGAAGAACAAAUGUGUAAGUAACUAUGCCCGUCUUGACGGUACCUGGUCAGAAAGCCACGGCUAACUACGUG